This is a long non-coding RNA of Myripristis murdjan (pinecone soldierfish), 619 nucleotides long. RefSeq lists it as uncharacterized. Lineage: Eukaryota; Metazoa; Chordata; Actinopteri; Holocentriformes; Holocentridae. The record is from RefSeq and is a predicted model, not a curated record. The transcript has 3 exons.
UCAUGUUUUGGGGUUUCCAUCCCUUAUGUUAUUCAUGUUCUGGGGUUUCAGCACACGCCCCAGAACCUCUAUAAAUAGGGUUGAUUGCCACACACCUGUUUUGCCACUUCCACCUGAGUUGCCACAGGAUGCAGGUUAUGUUGGGUAGGGUCAGCAAGCAGCACAUUGCAGUUCAUGUGCCUGUUGCUACUCACCACUUGUGUGAGAGGAGUUUUGCGCCCUUGGUAGGCGAAGCGAGUUUCACGGUGCUCAUGAGGAAAUAAAAUUUGUACCAGUUGAGCUCUACGCCUCCUUAUUGAUACCAAGGGUCGCUACAGUGAAACUCGGCGCUGCAUGGGAGCCAUCUUCUACAGAGUGCCAUCAUCCAUCUGCGGCUUCAGCAUGCUACAACUACAGUGAGAGACUUUUGGUAGCUGAGGGUAAAGUCACUCGGAGAUACUGAACUGUUUUUGAGUAAAGGUUGAGCAUUUGACGCUAUCUGCUCAUUUCUAUUGUAUGAGACAAUGGACAUUUAACAAAUUUAAAUGGCAUAACCUGAAUAAUUUACUAAUGCUCUGAAGGUGUGGUGAUUCCCUGCAUUUGUUUGAAUUGAAAUUGUUGGUUUAAAAAAAAAAAAAAA